This 656-nucleotide ribosomal RNA is filed under the name uncultured fungus. RNAcentral describes it as "eukaryotic LSU rRNA". It matches the Rfam family "Eukaryotic large subunit ribosomal RNA", at positions 24 to 664 of the family's 3401-position model. The record is from RNAcentral. Lineage: Eukaryota; Fungi.
CCCGCUGAACUUAAGCAUAUCAAUAAGCGGAGGAAAAGAAACUAACAAGGAUUCCCCUAGUAACUGCGAGUGAAGCGGGAAAAGCUCAAAUUUAAAAUCUGGCGGUUCUGCCGUCCGAGUUGUAAUUUAGAGAAGCGUUAUCCACGCUAGACCGUACACAAGUCUCCUGGAAUGGAGCGUCAUAGAGGGUGAGAAUCCCGUCUUUGGUACGGACUGCUAGGGUAUUGUGAUACGCUCUCAAAGAGUCGAGUUGUUUGGGAAUGCAGCUCAAAAUGGGUGGUAAAUUCCAUCUAAAGCUAAAUACAGAGGAGAGACCGAUAGCGAACAAGUACCGUGAGGGAAAGAUGAAAAGAACUUUGGAAAGAGAGUUAAACAGUACGUGAAGUUGCUGAAAGGGAAACGCUUGAAGUCAGUCGCGUUUGGCGGGACUCAGCCUUGCUUUUGCUUGGUGUACUUCCUGUCAGAUGGGUCAACAUCAGUUUUGACCGGUGGAUAAGGGCUUGGAGAAUGUGGCAUCUUCGGGUGUGUUAUAGCUUCAGGUCGUAUACAUCGGUUGGGACUGAGGAACUCAGCACGCCGAAAGGCCGGGUACUUGUACCACGUUCGUGCUUAGGAUGUUGGCAUAAUGGCUUUAAUCGACCCGUCUUGAAACACGG